GGAGAAGCAAGACUCCUGGUGUGUAGGCAUCCAGGGCAAAAAGAAGAGCACCGGCCUGGAAAGACACCCAGCUGGAAAAGUUUCUUGACAUGAAAACUUAGAUCGUUUACUUCAGCCUUUCUUUUGUAAUGUGUGAAUUUAAGGUAAUGUAUCUCUUUUAAGUACUACUUUACCUGUACACCACAGGUUUUGAUAUGGCAUAUCUUCAUUAUCAUGCAAUUAAAAUUAUCUAAUUUCCUUUGUAAUUCUUCUGUAAUCCAGGGGUUAUUUAGAAUUGUACUGCCUGUUUUGUAAAUCGCUAGAGAGAGACUUUCCAUUUUUUUCCGCUAGCUUAAUCCCAUGUGUUUGGUUCAGAGAAUAUCUUUUUUUUUUUUAAAUUUUUUGAGGCUCACUUGAUGGUGCAGCUAUGAUCAAUUUUGGUAAAAUGCUUCCAGUGUAAUCAAAAGGAGUAUGUAUACUAUUGGUUUAGAGGACAGUGUUCUAUAUGUCAAUUAAGCUAGGUGUGUUGUUCAACUUAUGCUAUAUCUGCUUCUGAAAUAAAUGUACUAAAAUAUUUUUUAAAAUUAAAUUCUACAAUAUUCAGGAAAAAAAUCUCAUUCCAUUGUGCGAUUUCCUAUUCCAGAGGUCCUUCUUGGGCUUUUGAUAGCAGUGGCUUUCUAUUAACCCCCUUUCCCAGCCACUGAGCAGCAGGAAUAGUGAGCAAGGGACUCACAUAUAUGGAUAUUAAGGAAGGCAUGCUCUGAAGGCUCCUACUGCCUGUCCUUGCCCUGUUCCACCACUGAAACAGUCAGAGGCCCUCUCAAGUCUUGGAAGAAAGAAGCUGGAAGCAGAGGUUGGUUCUAUCCCACUGAGAGCCAGGAACAGGAAUGGAAGCAACUCUGGAGAUGUGCUCUAAGUCUCGAAUCUUAGAAGGAAAUUAAUAUUAAAGUCUGUGAUAAAAUGUUUCAAGUGUUACCUCUUUACUUAUAGAAGUCUCUCCCACACUAGUACUAAGCUCUGGCCACUACUGCCAGGAGUGAGGUUCUAUUCCAGCAAGAGACUUUAUCAGAUAGAGGGCACCGUCUCAGUCUCCCAAACAGCUUUUAUAAUCAGCAAGAUUCUCCCAAAGGACCUAUCCACAAAGGAACCAUCACUGCCCUCUUGGCAGGGUAGGGUGUUUGUUGUGCAGGUGGAUAGAGAACAGAGGCAGGGGUGACGGGGAUCACCUGACCAAAGUGCCUAGAUAUCUCUAUAGUGACAAAUAAAAUCUCCAGUCUAAAGGAAAAGUUAUUUUUAUAAAAACAGAAGCAUGUUUUAUUUCAAUUCUGUUGAGGGAGUGAGAGGGAUGGAAAACACAAAAUGAGGGGGGAGUCUCUUUAUGCACACAUGAUGUCAGGGUCAACUACAAGAACAACUCCCAUUUCCAUCCCUCCCCCAGCUGAGUAGAUGGAGCAAGAACUGAGACACUAUUGGCACAGUAACAUGGCCAAUGCACCAGAAGAUGGAGAAAAAGAACUUCCCAGGGAGCAAGGUCCUGGGCCUCAGCUGCUUCCCCAGUGGAGGGGGAAUGAGAAAACUUUGGCUCAGCAGGAAGGCGGGUGGCAAAAAUCAGGGUUACUAGCUGGACUCUCCAGAUACAAACUGUGGGCUAAAGGGAGUCAAGACGUCUAUCCAGUCCAUGCUGUUUCUCCAAUACCUCUUCUCUUCAGGCUUGAGAUUACUGAGAGCUGGCCUGGCUCUCCUCUUCAUUUUGGAAGGCAGGGGAAUAAGUGCUUAUCCUACCCUUCCUACAUCGAGGCUAUUUAAUUACUACUGUCUUGGCUCCAAUGAGACAGAAGCCAACUAACGAGGCCGGCUCCCUUUAUGAAAGUCGGCUUGUAAGAGCCCUUGUAUUGGCAAAACUGCCUCUGCAAAGGUUUCUGAGCUUGCCCCUUACAGAUCCUCCCCAAACUUGUUCAGAGACACCUCCAAUUGUAUGAGAUAUGGACAGAAAAUACUUGGUCUCUCUCUCUAGAGUUGGACUAACAAUCCCUUCUUCGAUUGGAGAUGGGGAUAAGAGAGAGAGCAGGUGUUGGUAUAGGCAAGGAUUGGGAGAAAGCAAAGCCAUUUUACAUUGGGUUGUGAAUAGAGUCAUCUAAAGCUUCAGAGAAGGAAGGGGGAUUCUUGAACACAAUAUGAACAAGUGGCAACUCUGUAAUUCCCAUAGACCAAAAGGGAAUGUGUCAAAAACAAAACAAAACAAAAACAAAAACUG
Long non-coding RNA from Hipposideros armiger (great roundleaf bat), 2233 nucleotides. RefSeq lists it as uncharacterized. The record is from RefSeq and is a predicted model, not a curated record. The transcript has 2 exons. Lineage: Eukaryota; Metazoa; Chordata; Mammalia; Chiroptera; Hipposideridae.